AUUGAACGCUGGCGGCAGGCCUAACACAUGCAAGUCGAGCGGAUGAAGGGAGCUUGCUCCUGGAUUCAGCGGCGGACGGGUGAGUAAUGCCUAGGAAUCUGCCUGGUAGUGGGGGAUAACGUCCGGAAACGGGCGCUAAUACCGCAUACGUCCUGAGGGAGAAAGUGGGGGAUCUUCGGACCUCACGCUAUCAGAUGAGCCUAGGUCGGAUUAGCUAGUUGGUGGGGUAAAGGCCUACCAAGGCGACGAUCCGUAACUGGUCUGAGAGGAUGAUCAGUCACACUGGAACUGAGACACGGUCCAGACUCCUACGGGAGGCAGCAGUGGGGAAUAUUGGACAAUGGGCGAAAGCCUGAUCCAGCCAUGCCGCGUGUGUGAAGAAGGUCUUCGGAUUGUAAAGUACUUUAAGUUGGGAGGAAGGGCAGUAAGUUAAUACCUUGCUGUUUUGACGUUACCAACAGAAUAAGCACCGGCUAACCUCGUG
This 484-nucleotide ribosomal RNA is filed under the name uncultured bacterium. Its description in RNAcentral is "partial 16S ribosomal RNA". It matches the Rfam family "Bacterial small subunit ribosomal RNA", at positions 30 to 507 of the family's 1533-position model. The record is from RNAcentral.